AAACGUUCGUUUUAUAUUUACUACACAACUUGAAUUAAUAAAUAACUGUUGGUCAGCUUUUUCCAAAUGUCAGUAUCAUUACAGUUUCCCGUACAUUAUGCCCGCCAGUUUUAUCGCUAUGUCGACGGCAUUCAAUAUUUCAUAAACACUACGUUUGAACUCAUGCUAUAUCAGCACACUAGCUAUGCAUACACAUUCCAUUUGCGUCGGCCUUUAAUGCUUAAUUUAUUUGAUAAGCAGCCGAUAAGCAUGUUUCUACCGCCCAGGCUCGGAAGUCAGUGAUCGUGAUACAUGAGAUAUAUACAAAUUUGUUAUGGUUUUAUGCAGGACCACUGCGUCUGGUGGACACUUUGCUUCAACAUAGAUAUAUAUAGUUCCAGUUUAGUCCUUACAUGUAUUAUUUCCGCAGUUCUUCAACACUAGUCCAAGGGCACUGAGGGAACGCUUAGAGCAUACAGACACACCGGGUUUACAUAUACUAGGCUAGUAUACAGGUUUAUCAUAUACUACUGCAGAGUAGGGUGUGAAGAGCAGCAUGGAGAUUCGAAGACACGUAUACUCAGCACGUAUAUAUGUCUGAACUUCUUAAGGAUAUGCAACUGAAUGUAUUGUAUUGGUGGAAACUCUGCCUUUGUUAAGUAUAUUAGAAAAUACAGAUACAGAUAUUAAAACCUUCGUUUUAUCGGAUGAAGACUUCAGAACUUUAUAGCACCGUUAUAUAUAGAAAACAUACCCUGAUGCCUGCCUUCAUAUAUAGUAUAAUGUGUUAGACAACAGUUCAACUUUUGUUUAUUAACCUAUCGUUUUCGGAUGCAGAAUUCAGAACUAUUAAGCACUGGAAUAUGAGGACAGCAAUAUCUUGAAGCAACUUCAGAACUAUAUAGCAACUGAAUAUAUAAGGAGGACGAUACCUUGAUUCAUGCAUUCAUAGUUAAUGUGUCAGAACUACAGUCACACUUCUUUAAGCAUUAAACACAAGAAUUUUAACUAUGUAAGAAAGAGUUAUUUUAUCCGUCUGGGUUAGAGAGAAGUUAUUACUGUUAUCACUCUUUCAGAACUGGUAGAGGGUCCUUUUUUAAGCACAACAGAAAUGUGUUGUUUUUAAAAUCUUCAGCGGCAGCAGCGGGAAUUGAAGAUCAUAUCAUACAAACACUUGGUAGUUGGUCAUCGGACUGUUAUAUCAGACAUAUAAGUACUGAUAAGAGAGUUAUUUCUAAAGCACAACAGAUAAUGUGUCAUUUUUGAAAUUAAUGUUUUGGUAAUGUUGUUUAUUUUUACAUAUGUGUUUUUAAGCAUUAUUAUUUCUUGGGGGCUUUCAUUCUUUCAUUAAUGAACUCAUUUCAUUUGGCCUUUUUAAUUCCAGGGGAAUCAUACUCCCCCAAUUCAAUAAUACAUCAGAUAGGUUCCUGUCGAGGAACAAAUAGGUAGUUUAAAGUAGUAUUUUUACUACGCUGGGAUCGCCCAGAAGCAAUUAGGUUCAUUCCUGGGGGUCGCCCCAGGAAUUAGGUUCAUUCCUGUCGAGGAACAAAUAGGUUCAUUCCUGGGGAUCGCCCCAGGAACAAUAGGCUCAUUCCUGGGGGUCGCCCCAGGAAAUAGGUUCAUUCCUGUCGAGGAACAAUAGG
Mytilus trossulus (common blue mussel) is the source of this 1622-nucleotide long non-coding RNA. RefSeq lists it as uncharacterized. The transcript has 2 exons. Lineage: Eukaryota; Metazoa; Mollusca; Bivalvia; Mytilida; Mytilidae. The record is from RefSeq and is a predicted model, not a curated record.